RNAcentral lists this microRNA precursor (78 nucleotides) under Schistosoma margrebowiei. RNAcentral's name for it is "mir-3492 microRNA precursor family". It matches the Rfam family "mir-3492 microRNA precursor family". Lineage: Eukaryota; Metazoa; Platyhelminthes; Trematoda; Strigeidida; Schistosomatidae. The record is from Rfam by way of RNAcentral.
AGCUUCUUGAAUCCGUGCAGAGGUUUUUUCAGACACCAAUCCAUUUGAGCUGAUCAGAAUCCUAAGAUAAGUGAAGUU